AUCGUAUUUCGGCUGAAAUUAACACAUACAGGAAGAGAGCGGAGAGGGCAGAAACCAAACUGUCCAAGUUUCAGAAGAUGAUUGAGGAAGCUCAGGACAAAAAUGAGACUACACUACAGGUGUCAAAGUUACUGGAAAUUCUGUCCAGUAGUCACAGGUUUAGAGCUGUGGCAGAUGUGGUCGUAGGAGUGGAGGCCAAGAAGCAAGAAAGCCUUGGACAGAAAACUUCACAGGCCUGUAGUAUCCAGUAACAGUGCAUCACACAGAGGGGGUGGGGAGGGGUAGGCAGAGAGCCCCAAAGGUCUAUGUUUUUAAACCGUGUUAGUAAGAUAAAUUUGUGAUAUCAACUGGUAACAUUUGACACGUGGAGUGAAAAUUGGACAAUCUUAUGUUAUGGCCUUGCUCAAUGUGAUGAGUUGACUACUACAAAAUUACACCGAGUACACAUGUCCUAACUUCAUUUGACUAAUCUAAUUCAGCAGGUAAACUCAACAGUGGCAUUCACUGUGAACGCUUAAGGAAAAUAUUAUGGUUAUCAACCUGGCCCCACUUUCACAAAACUUCAGUUUUUUGUAACUUUUCUAGUGAAUGACGUCACCUUGUGGCACUGUAAUGUAGACAUCUUUUCAUGAAAAAUGUUACAAGAAAUAUGACUUAAAGUUUUGUAAGAGUGGGCCAGACUUUCUUUCUUUGACAGCUACUCAACAGGGCCUCGAUCUACAAAGCUGUUACUACUGGCAACAUUUGUCUUGAACUUCAGUUGCUAUCAUGCUUACAACUGACAACCACAUCUUCAAAUUAUUUUUAAUUUGUCAUCAGUCAUGAUAAAAAUGCCUCAGAAAUGUUAAUUAUUUUACUAGGGACAAAUUUCUGAAGAAAAAAAAUGUUAAAAAAUGUAAUGAAGGAGAAACAUUGCUGACAGGAGAAUACACAUUACCAUUACUGUCACUGUUCAGUCAGCCAUUAGCCGGUGGAUUAUCAUGUGUUAGAAUCCUGUUACACAGUUGAGGUGUGGAAAGGUACAUAAAACAAAUCUGAUUAGGUUGGCGUCUUGGGGCCAAGUGUUAAAAGUGUAGUAAAAACUAAACCAGACAUUAGCCUUGAUUAAACCUUUGUGUUAGUCUAGGCCUGAUCCAUUACUAAUGGUACUUGGGUCCACACUUUUGUUACAUACCAGGCUUAACUUUUGAACAACUCUAUCCUGAUCACAAUUUCAAUGUUAACAUCUUGAAGGAGCUGUGAAAAAAUAAACACUGGUUUGUUUGUUCUAAAGUAUGUAUUAGAUUAAUUCUCUUGCAGAUUUCAAAUUAAAAUUUGGGCAGGGAACUGAACUGCUCCUAAUCCCCAAUCACACCUAUACUUCCAACCAAUUAGUGACAACACGCAACAACAUUUAACCCAUCACCAGCAUUUCGUGCGGCAGUCGGAAUCUUGCAGUUUCAUCAAUAGCAAUAUGGUGUAGGUUGCUCAGCCAUUUGUUACUGUGUAAAUUGUGAAGAAAUUCAGAAGAGCUCUAAGAGAUAUAACUCUGAUUGAAAAAGUUGGUUACAGAAAUUGGCAGAGAGGACUAUGGGAGUAGAAGUAGAUUACAGAUUACACAAGCGCAUUUAUUUUUCCUUACUGUUUAUGUAGUAAAUUUGUCAAGUUCAACCUCAAAAAUAUAUUUUCCCUAACAUUCGCGUGUUACAAUGCCAUAACACCACAAGCAGCUUGCACUUUUUUCUUCAUCAUAUCAAAAAACCAACCUGGCAUGAUCACCAUUUUUUUGAGCCAUGGAUGCUGAAAGUGAAGUCAUAGCAUUUGUUACCUUGGUAACCUUGAGAGGGGUGGGACGUAACACUGGCUAAAUAAAGGACUGACAUUGCAGAAAUUAAUAGCACAGCAACAUGUCUGUGUGGCAGUAGUAUCCAAUCAGUGCUCCUUCACUCUUCAGUACGGAGGCAAAUCUUGGACCCAGUUGCCUGAAUUGCACCUGUAACCUCUAGAAUGGCCAGGCGCACUAGGGGAGAUAACUUAGGGUGACCCUGGGAGCCAUUUUUCUGCAUUUAUUUGUCAUUAUAAAAUCAGUAGUGGAAAAUUAAUUACUUACACUGAAAAGCCAAAUUCAUAUUGAGGUGAAAUUGAUUUUUCAGAUUAACUGCUCCCUUGUUAUGGGUGUAUUAGGUAUUUUCAAUGGAAAAAAAAAAUCACUCAUCAGAUCAGAAAAGUUUUUUUUUUUGCAGAUUUGGAAAGGCUAUGAUGCGGUGCAAAUGGUAUUAGUACCUGGACUUGAUGGUAUUAGUGAUCAGCUUCUUCUGAAUUGAAUAUAUUGCAUAACUUCCACAUACAUGUAACUUGAUUUGUGUGUAUAAAAAAGGAAGUAGGGCAUUCCAUUCUAUUUUAUAAACAUUUCUGAACAUAUAUAUUUUUUUUUUACAUAUAAAAUGCCUUGACUCAUCUCAUUGCAUAACUAUACAGGCAUGGCAUUAUUAUUCUAAUCUAAAGAGUGUACAGUUGCCUAACCACUUUCGUUGAAAUGACGAUAAAGUAAAGUAAUGAUAAACCAUCCAUCAUGGCCAAUCAACAAAGAGGACCAUUCCUACCUCCAUGUCAGAAAAGUUCUUUGGAUCCCUUAUUUAUAUGUGCUGUUUUAAAUUUACAAAUUUUGACGCCUUUUAAUUUUGAAUGCGUAAAGAAAAAAAAAUUCAAUACACUGUUAUGUUGUGGAGUAAGUGUGAACACGUUGAAAAAUUAUUCACUGUUAGUUGACAUUAAUAUGAAGUCCUGUUGCUUGUACCAUAGUACAUAUAUGUACAGCAUAUGGUGUAUGUGCUUUAUGAGUCACAAACGGUUUUUUUUCUUUAAAAAGAUAAUUAUCUUUUGCUGUUUUUGUGGGGUUGUCAUUUUUCAUGGUGACAGUAUUGGUAUCAUUCAAUUUUUUUACAGUAUCGGUUACUGCUGUAAGCAGGUGUACAGGGAUGUGAUUUUUCAAUUAUGCACAAAUCCACUGUUUCAUAUUUGGAACAUAAACAAAGCCACAUGGUGUUGCGUGACAUUGGCAUAGCCAAAUUCUGCCUCCCCAAAUUACUCAACCUUUUCUCACAUAAAAGAGAAACUUUCAGUGCAAUUUAUAGACAUUUAAAGUUGAUUUUGGAAAACAAAACUACAACAGUUAGAUUGGCCAAUUUCAGGGCUUCAAAAAAAGUGUAUUUUUAUCAGUCUGCACAGGGUAAUGCCUUCAGAAUAAGCUUGAAGAAACAUUUAGCCAACAUGUGAAAAGGUUGAAGAAUUACAGUGCAAUGUAUUUUCAGCUUGCUGGGAGUUCACGUUCCAAAGAGUGACCUGCAUAGGGUGGUACUGUAAUUAGCCAAGAAUCUGA
Molecule: long non-coding RNA, 3358 nt
Organism: Liolophura sinensis
Lineage: Eukaryota; Metazoa; Mollusca; Polyplacophora; Chitonida; Chitonidae
Exons: 3
Source: RefSeq, a predicted model, not a curated record